Molecule: ribosomal RNA, 460 nt
Filed under: uncultured bacterium
Lineage: Bacteria
Description: partial 16S ribosomal RNA
Rfam family: Bacterial small subunit ribosomal RNA
Source: RNAcentral
CCUACGGGAGGCAGCAGUGAGGAAUAUUGGUCAAUGGACGCAAGUCUGAACCAGCCAUGCCGCGUGCAGGAAGACGGCUCUAUGAGUUGUAAACUGCUUUUGUACGAGGGUAAACGCAGAUACGCGUAUCUGUCUGAAAGUAUCGUACGAAUAAGGAUCGGCUAACUCCGUGCCAGCAGCCGCGGUAAUCCGGAGGAUUCAAGCGUUACCCGGAUUUAUUGGGUUUAAAGGGUGCGUAGGCGGUUGGAUAAGUUAGAGGUGAAAUCCCGGGGCUCAACUUCGGAAUUGCCUCUGAUACUGUACGGCUAGAGAGUAGUUGCGGUAGGCGGAAUGUAUGGUGUAGCGGUGAAAUGCUUAGAGAUCAUACAGAACACCGAUUGCGAAGGCAGCUUACCAAGCUACUUCUGACGUUGAGGCACGAAAGCGUGGGGAGCAAACAGGAUUAGAUACCCCAGUAGUC